This 4203-nucleotide long non-coding RNA is filed under the name Capsicum annuum. Its description in RNAcentral is "long non-coding RNA (CANN_LNC020570)". Lineage: Eukaryota; Viridiplantae; Streptophyta; Magnoliopsida; Solanales; Solanaceae. The record is from RNAcentral.
AAUAAUUUCCAAGGUAUUAUCAAACAUCCAAAAAAAGUGAAAUUGUAACUCCUCUGUUCGUGUGUUACACUGAGAAAUGUACAAUGUCCAAAGGGGAGCAACAUGAGCUAAAGAAGGUGAAUAUAUAUGUCUGUUCCAACUAACAAACAAACACAUAUCUAUUUCAACUGAUGACAAAUCUACUGAAAAUUAUCAAAUAGAUAUAUAUGUUUGUUUCAACAGUUGACUAACUUGUUGCAUCAAAUAAAGUAUCUGUUGCAACAUAUGUCUCGUCUGUUUUUAGCAAAUCAAACAGCUCUUCGUACCACUUUUCUUUGUACCAACAGUUGACCACUCUUCUGUCGCGCCCUAUUUUUCUCGCGGAAGGAGAGAUUCGACUUGCCAAACUCUUUUGGGAUGCGUUAAAAAAGGGUGUGAAAGUCGUCACCUAAUGUAUUAAGGUGUAUUAGGGCACCGGUCUAGGCUACUACAAAACUAUUUUGUUAUUUUGUCUUAGUUCACCAAAAAUUUGGGUAAGGGUUCAAAUUACUUCAAAAGGAAGGUGUUAGGCACCUUUCGAGGUCCACAAAGGUGGUUUCCGGCCAAAUUCGUACUUUACAUGGGGAUUCUAUGUGAUCAAAUAAAAGUCUUUUGUUUUAUUAUUAAUUUUACAUUUAGCUAAGUGGUAAAGUAAUUAACAAAUAUUUAACUAAUUUAUUUUAACUAUUAAUCAUCUAAGUGAUCAAAUAUAUAAAUAAGACAAGCGAGAAGAAAAAAAUGAUAUAAUUUAUAACAAAGGGGACUGCUUAUGUAACAGACUAACUACCCCAAAUAAAUGAACAUGUAAAGUAAAUAAACGACUAAAAAGAAAUCGUCCAAGUCAAACAAAGAAAUAUUUUGGUCCCAUUCGGAUCAGAAACCCAACUUGUUAAUCAUCAUCUGACCCAAGGGUUGAACUCUUAGACAAGUAAUAAUGUCAUUAGCCUCGUUGUUAAUAUCUAUUGGAAUCAUCAUUUCCGAAUGACUACCCGUCCCACCCCACCUAGGAUGGAUGUCAAGUCUAAAGGCAUUCUAUGACAAGGAUAAAACUAACGUUUUUAGUAAUACUUAUUGUCCUACCUAUCGCUCAAGAGGCAUUGGACUUUGCUAUUUUGGAUUUGUGUUCUAGACUAAAAGAAAGCUAUGUUGCCUAGGACUCAAAGAGCGAACAUAUUGGACAACAAGUAGCACGUAAUAAUCUCAAGUUAGCCUCUUGAUUAAUUAACGUCAAUUACUGUGAUAGGAUGUAAAUACAAGCAAAUUAUUUAUUAUGUUGUUAACCUAUAGACAUGAUAUCUAAAUGUUCAACAAGUAGUGAUAAAAGACAAUUGUGAUUCAUGUAUGCAAUGAUGUAAUGUGUGUUCAAAAAAGUUUUCAAGGUGUGAUAAUUGUGUCAAGAGAUGUGCUCGCGAAUUAAGUGUUAUAAACUAUAAUGAGAAUAUAAGAAACUAGUAAAAUAUUAAAGGAUGCGUUAACAUGUUACGGAUGCACUUAAAUAUGGAGAACAGAUUAACAUGUAGAAAAUGUAGAGAAUUAUUAGUAUUUUAGCAUGCUGGAAGUCAACUAAACAUGUUGAAAAAUGAAUUAAACAGGCUGAAGAAGUUAAUUAAACAUGCUAAAAAAUUAAUUAAUCAUGCCGAAAGUUACUUAAUCAUGCUGAAAAGUUACUUAAACAUGCUGAAAAAAAUUAAUUAAUCAUGCUGAAAAUAACGUUAAGGCGCAUUUUAAACAGGCUAAAAUUAGAUUCAUUAUGCCAAAAAUUAGAUUUUUAAUGAACAGUGAAUUAACACGUGGGUCACACAAGAAAUUAAUAUGAACAUGCUAAAUGUGCCUAGGUAAACAUGUAAAAACGUUGACACAGUUAUUUUAAUGUAGACAUGCUGGAAACUCAAUUUAAACAUGCUGAAAAAUAUUAAAUACAUUGUUCCACAUGCUAAAAAUGCUCAAGUAGACUAUUUAACAAGUAGGACUGAAAACGCUCAAGUAGACUAUUUACCAAGUAGGAAACGUUUAACGUAAUAACUUGCAUGUUAACAUACAAAAUGCUUGAAUUAAUUGUUAAUCAUGUAAAAAAAAUAUUACUAGGCCUAUAAACUAGUUUAGAUAUACUAACAUGCUAAAAAUCAAUUCAAUGUGAUAAAAAUACAUCAAUAUGCUCAAUGUGAAUAUAAGGUGUCGAUUUUAGUUAGAUUAAGAAUAAUUAAUAAAUCGUAGAACAUGAUUCAUAUUAGUAAAUCCUAAUUUUGUGCCUAGAUGAUUCUUGUAACACGUAUUACGCAUAACCCUAGGCUGCCUACCUAUAUCGUUCAUAGAGCACGUAAAUUCCCGCCUCCGAAGCAGUCCCCCAAAUUUAUUUAUUACAAUUAUAAUAAUGUUUUUACAAAGUAUUACAAAUCAAAUAAGAAACCAAACUAAACUAAUACAACCCAGUUAUAUAACUAUCCCGGCGAUUCUUUGAAACCCCGUAAUUGUCUAUUUAAACCUGCGAGACAAGAUAUGAUGGCAAGCAAAUAGGAAUAUAUAAUAACAACAUCGAAUUAUUCCUAGACAUGCUUUCUUAAGGCUUUCACAGCAUGAUGCAAUCAACACACAUAGGGUAUGAAAAUUACAUUAUUUUGGAAACUUACCGGUGAGCAACAACAAAAGAAAUAACAAGAAUAACAAAAGCCAGGCACUUGUAACAGUGAAAGAUGUUUUAGUAAGCCCCGAAGAACAGUAGAAGAAACCUCAAAAGUAUCUAAUUACUUUUGUUUUAGAGAGUAGUAGUAAUAAUUGUAAUAGAACUUAAAAGCUUGUAAACUUGAGAAGUCUGAGGGUUUUUUGUAUAUAGAGAGUGUAUAGGGAGUGAAAGAGGGUGAUAAGAGAUCCCCAAAUAAUAAGAAAGGGCAUUGUUUAUAUAAUAAAAGAGUCAAGACAAAUAACGGAAAAAGAAUAUCUUUUGUCAAUCAAUUAAGAAAAAAUAAAAUCAGUCCAUCAAUCAAUGACAAUUUUUCAUAAAUAUUCCACCUAUAUUAAUCAAGUAACUUAAAUCAGCCUAAGCAUAGAAGGAAGAGAAAUAUCAAUCAACAUAGAGCAUAUUUGAUGUAAUCAAUCAACAAAAUUAUCCUUAAAUAUUAAGAUCACACUCAAUAAUAUAAAAUUAGUCAAAAUAAUCAAAUUAUCCAUCAAUUCAAAUUUUCUUAAUUAAGUAGAGUGAAUCAAUCAGCACACAUUUACCAUAAAUAGAUUUAAAAAUAUAAAAUAAAAAACACUAAAAAUACAGAUAUGCAUCCGCUUUUACUGAUUAGAAAAUAUGAAACAAUUAAUCACAAAUUAUUUUAAUUGCAUGAUUUUCAAAAGUUUUCAUACACAACCUGAUAAUGUAAAUCAGACAGAUCCCCGUAAUUAAGCACGAAACAGUUAAUGUUAUUUUGCACAUAAAUCAGACAUGCCAAUGAACAUAUGAACAUCACAAUUCCAUCGUAUGCAUAACAAAAAAAAUUAAAGUGAACAUUUGGGGUUUGGACAGUUCACACAGCAACAGGUGUUUUGACACACGGAUAUAAACACAUAAACGUACAUUACUUGCAAGAAUCAAUUCACAAUUAAUAAUUAAGUUUUGUCAAUUCCAAAUGAAAUAAAAAAAUGUCGACAAAAAAUAAAAAUAUAUAAGAAGAUGAUAACUUUUAAAAUAGAAAUGGGGAAAUCAAACCUUGGACAGAUCCUUAAGAAUCCGUCAUGAGGAUGAACGUUUUCUGGUGACUCGAACUGAAGUAGCGGUGGUAGGAGGUGGCUGAUUGUUUCGCCGGCUGGGGAUGUUCGACGGCGUCAGUAACGGAGCAGCGACGAGGUACUGGGCCUUCUCCGGUGAAGCAGCGGCGGGGAAGGGCGAACUAGUCGCGAUGGCGAUGACUUGUGCUGGCAGAUCUGGGCAUUGACAGAGGAGAGUCGUGACGCCACGGCUGGAGGCGGUUGUUUCACUGGCGGUUGCUGCAGAUCUGGACGGAGGCGGUGGAGCGGUGAUUGAGGAGUGAGGGAAACGGUGGUGCUAGUGGCGGCGAGGUCGCGAUGGAACGGGUAAGGAGGAGGACGGGAGAGGUGGGUGAGAGAGAGGGAGAAAGAGGCGGGUGAGAGAGGGAGGUGGAGGCUGAUGAAAAUAGUAAUGAGAUUAGGAUUUUGGGUUGUUGGAUUAAAAAGAAAAGAAAG